GGAAGAGAGUUAUGGGUCCAAAUCAAAAUCCAAAUCCAAAUGAGUCAGAUGAGCUGAAGAUUAAGCAAAUCUGAAGAAAGCCCAAUUAUGGUGAGGAAAGGUUUCUGCAAAGUGCAAAGCUCCUCUUUCAUCGGCGUCUUUUCCAUACAUAAACACAAAAUAUAAAUGUUUAAAUCCAAACCAACAACAACAAACGUCAACUCACGCCAUUCUUUUCUCUCUUUCUGAGAAUUUUUUUUUAAUUUUUUAAUUUUCCCAACUAUACAUCAUGAUAUUGUUGUUGUUACUCUACCAAUAAAACCCACACACAAAGACCCAUCUGGUCCUGGUCUACUCUUGCUUCACUUGAAUCACUUCACUUCACUGUUUUUUUCUUGGUGAAGAUGGAUUUUGAUCAGACCCGCUUGGUUGGUGACUAUAUCCUGGGACCCAGAAUCGGCUCAGGUUCUUUUGCCGUCGUUUGGCGCUCCAGGCACCGGCAAUCCGGUAGAGAAGUUGCCGUUAAAGAGAUUGACAGGAAAUUGCUUAGUCCAAAAGUCAGUGAGAAUUUGCUUAAAGAAAUUUCCAUUCUUAGCACUAUCGAUCACCCCAACAUUAUCCGCCUUUUCGAGUCCAUCGAGACGGACGAUAGGAUAUUUCUUGUAUUGGAGUAUUGCGAUGGAGGUGAUCUUGCGGCCUAUAUUCAUCGUCAUGGGAAAGUAUCGGAGGCUGUCGCAAGGCACUUUAUGAGGCAAUUGGCUGCUGGGUUGCAAGUGCUUCAAGAAAAACAUCUCAUUCACAGGGACUUGAAACCACAGAACCUACUUUUGUCAUCAAAUGAAGCAACUCCACAAUUGAAGAUAGCGGAUUUUGGAUUUGCCAGGUCCUUGACCCCCCAAGAUUUGGCUGAUACGCUGUGUGGUUCACCAUUGUACAUGGCGCCAGAGAUUAUUCAGAAUCAAAAGUAUGAUGCGAAGGCUGACUUGUGGAGUGUUGGAGCAAUUUUGUUUCAGCUGGUGACGGGCAAGCCACCGUUUGAUGGCAAUAGUCAAUAUCAGCUUUUUCAAAACAUUUUGACAUCCACUGAGCUGCAGUUUCCACAUGGUGCUUUAGAGGAGUUACACCCAGAUUGUGUGGAUCUGUGCAAAAGACUUUUACGCCAAAAUCCAGGUCACAAUUACUAAUAUGCCACAUUCUGUGUGCGUAUAAAUGCACAUGCUAGUUCUAUGUGUUCUCGUGUGGGUGGGUGGGUUUAGUGGUGAUAGUAUAUAAUCCAAGUUACAGAUAGAGGGGUUAGGUUUGGUGUUGUGUGUAUAUUUAAUUCAUUUAUUACAUUGCUAUCAAGAGUUAACUUACAUUGCUAUCAAGAGGCCUCUGUGUAACACUUUGAACUUUGUUUUCAGUCAUGAGAUUAACAUUCAAGGAGUUCUUCAAUCACAAGUUCCUAGGGGAGCCAAGGUGACAUUCUAAAGUUAGAUCAUUUUUUUCUAUAAAAUAUCUAUGGGUGCUUUUAUUCUGUAUCAUGAUUGUUUGGUCCAUUAGCAGUGAGGUAUAUUCAAGCUACUUGGAUUUAUUAAAUAUACAAGAAAUUCUGUAGGUUAAUGGUGGAUCUUUAUUAGUCUUCUUUACUUCAAUAAAUAAAAUCAGUGAUUGGGCAGUUUGAUUCUUCUGUUUCUGAUAAGAGAUUUUGGCUGCAUUGAGAGCAUCCAUUUACUCGGCUAAUAGAAAUUCAAAAUUUAAUUUUUCUGUACAUCACAGUGUAGUGCAUGGAAAAGUUCCUGGCAAUAUGUCUUGCACCAAAAGUGUUCAUGGGUCUAUACCAAAUAUUGCACAUGAUAGAACAAGGAAAUCAGUUGAUGGAAGCCAAUGUUCAUCAUAUCAGCCUGGAGUUGUUGAUUCAUUGGAGUCCAUUGAGAAAGAUUAUGUUCUUGUGAAUUGUCAUUUUGCUUCAAUGGAGAAUCUCUCCUGUUACUCUGAGACAUCCUUGCAAGAUAACUCUGCAACUAGAGUUUCUGUUUGCCCACCAAAGAAGAAUGAUCAAGAUAUAGCAGUUACCAUGCAAACAAAGCAGCAUGUUGCUAGCUCUUUUGGUGGUGCAGAACAUAGUUUAGUCCACAGAUCAGAUCCAUUAGAUACAUCAUGUUCACCAACCAUAUUAAGUGAAGUGAAAGAGCAAUCUAUGCUGCAUCCCUCAAGAAGGCUCCACUUGUUACAUCAGUAUGUACAAGCUGUUGCAGAAGUAGCCCAGGAAAAGGUGAGUUCAGCAUUUUCUAUUUAGCAAUAUCUUUUUCUUUUUGAAAUUAUUUGGUUAAAUCUGUUGAUGUUGCCUAGACUUCACAUAUAAAGUUGAGCCUCUUCAUUUUCUGAAGUGAAGCAGCAUAAAUUCCUGGUGAGAUGAAUUUAUCCCAUUUAAACUGUAUGAAUGCUGCAUAUAUGGAUGGAAGGUUUUUGAAACUUCUUUGUUAACAAAAUGUUCAAUAUAAGUGCUCCAAUGGACUAGUUUUAUUCUUUCCAAAAUGAAUGAGCUACAGCCGAGGGCAGACCUAGUAAUCUCAUCUUUCUAUUGCUGGGUUCAUUUAUUUUAAUUGUCCUUUAUAUCUUAUUUAUGUUUGGAAUUUGAUGGUGUUACAAAAAUCCAACAUCAUGGUCAUUGAGACAAAAGGCGUUUGUGUCAACAAUUAUCUGUAGGCUGUAGCUGAUGUUUCCUGGUCUUAAGAGACCAUUAAUUAAUGUAUGAAACUUUUAAUUGCUAUUACAUGCAGUACAAUGCAGGACUAUUUCUGGAAUCAUUUUCCGUUGAGCUUGUUGUUUUGGCCAUAUGGAAGAAAGCUCUUCAAAUAUUCAGCUCCUGGGUGGCCUCAACUGCAGGAAGUAAAUCGCCUGAAAGCAGUUCGGCUAAUGAAUCUACUUCUGUUCAUGGUGGCAUAAGAGACAAAAUAGAUUUUGGCAGGCCUUCGUCUGCCUGCAAGUGGGCAGAGCAAGAAUUUGUUGCUGCAUAUGAUCGUGCAGAGAAGUCAUCACAUCACAUUCAAGAUAUGGAUGCUGCUGCUGAGAUGCCUGAUGCCAUGGAAAUAAUAUUCCAGAAGGCUCUAGCUGUUGGGACGAGUGGUGCUGUAGACGAGUAUAUGGAGAACAAGGGUAGUGCAAAAAUCUCAUACUCCAAAGCAAUGGUUCUACUUUCUUUUAUUGUAGAAGAAGCAGCUUCUCUACCUCUGAAACCUCCAUUUAUACUGACUCCUACCAAUGAGAAAAGAAUACAAAGCUACAUAAUCAACUUGCAGUCCCAUCAGUCUCACUUCUAAUAAAGCAGCCGUUCUAUACAACUCCCCUGAAUCCCAUACCAAAUUUACAAAUGGUGUACAGGUAUUUUUAGAAACGACCUUCAUCAAUUACUGGUACAGCCUGGAACUCAAGGUCAGAUUUGACAUGCAAUUUUGAACUUUGCAUGCUGAAGUGGACACAAAGUAAUUGGUUGACAUGACUAGGGAAAUGCUGUGGCGUGUACUGGAUGUAUAGAAUUGUACAUGUCUGACUCUUGGCAUCCAGUGCGAGAUGGCAUCCGUUUAAAGGAUUUUUUUUUUCUUUUUCUAAAUAAACUGUAAAGAACCGUAACUCUGAAUGCUCUGUAACUUAUAAAAACUUUUUCUAUGGCAAGAAAAAAUGUAGUAAAUGUCCAUAUGAUUUUUCCCACCCUUCUACCUCAAAUGCUAUGUUAUGCUUGUAGCAAUGAGGCUUUUAUGUCCAUAUGCCUCGUGGUAACAAGUGGAAAGCUCAAGUGUCUGAAAACAAGAUGAUGGUUAAAAACUAUAAUAUCCAACUUUUUCUCUCCUCAAGUUCCAUAAGCACCUGCAUCUAGCACAUGAUACAACAAUCAAAAGAAGACGCUUGAUGGCAAGGUUAAUCUACAUUUCUCAUAGCAUCAGCACUAGUCCCCACCAAGCCUCUGUUUGACAUGAGAGUAGGGAAUACGGAUGUAAAUAAACACUGCCUUUGGAUGAAAGGGGCCAUAUCAGGGCCUAUUCAAUAGUUGAUGGUUUCUUAUCUAAGUCUAUUCCACGGAGUUUUUUAGCUGCAGUUGCAUGGUUCAAGAAAGUAAAUGAGCAAAUGUAGAUACAUAUGGUACACACUUUGCACGAAAAAGUCUUCGUGAUCUGCAGGUAUUCUAAUUUAGAUAAAGGGGGGAAAUAAUAAAUUACAUGCAGAAACAAAGAUUUCUUUGUUUAAGCAUGCAAUAUCAAAUUGAAGCUUCCCCAUCAAUACGUAUCCUCUUGGAGCCUUUCUCCUCAUAUUGGCUGCCGAUGGCGACAACCCUGUUUUCCUUGGCCUCCACUGAACAUCUUUUGUAGGGUUUAAAUCCUGUUCGACGAGCCUUUAGCUUUCCAUGUCCAAGCCCGAUAGUCAGCAGCCCAUCCUCUCCACUGUACUCACAUCUAGGCAAUGCAUUUUUCUCCACUUCAUGAUGGCUAGUACAGGAUCCCCUUAUCUUGCUGGUAAGAUUCAAAAGUGAUGCAUUUCCAUCUUUCUCAUCUGUGUUUUGCUUGUCUUCAACAUUAUCCUUCUGGUGUGCCUCACCCUUCAGAUCAUGUGGUGGAGAGAAGCUUUGUGGCAAUACCUCCCUGGAGAAGAGAGCUUGAAAAGCCAUUCGUCCCUCUUCAGAGACCUCCUUCCAUGAAUCACUCAUGUUGCU
This 4666-nucleotide unclassified non-coding RNA is filed under the name Hevea brasiliensis (rubber tree). Lineage: Eukaryota; Viridiplantae; Streptophyta; Magnoliopsida; Malpighiales; Euphorbiaceae. The record is from RNAcentral.